RNAcentral lists this transfer RNA (73 nucleotides) under Chloroflexota bacterium. Its description in RNAcentral is "tRNA-Lys". It matches the Rfam family "tRNA". Rfam says of the family: Transfer RNA (tRNA) molecules are approximately 80 nucleotides in length. Their secondary structure includes four short double-helical elements and three loops (D, anti-codon, and T loops). Lineage: Bacteria; Bacillati; Chloroflexota. The record is from RNAcentral.
GGCCCAUUAGCUCAAUUGGCAGAGCAGCUGACUCUUAAUCAGCGUGUUAUAGGUUCGAGUCCUAUAUGGGUCA